Taeniopygia guttata (zebra finch) is the source of this 7037-nucleotide long non-coding RNA. The record is from Ensembl. NCBI's taxonomy places the organism in Eukaryota, Metazoa, Chordata, Aves, Passeriformes, Estrildidae.
CGCCCGCUCGGAAGGAUGCGCCGCUCGGAAGGAUGCGUUGCGCGUUCAGGGCAUUGUGGACCAUUGUCUAACAGGAAUGGUUCUCUCAGAACUGACUCAGGAAAUGGAUCUGGUUGAUUAUUCAAGACCUUCAGCAAAGCCUUGUAAAAGAGUUGCCUCAUUUCGUGACACCUCUUUGAAGGACAUACCGAUGUUUGUGUGCUCUUUUGAAGGAGUUUUCCAGAUAGUUUCUUUGAUGGAUGCUCAGUUACUCCAGUAUAAAAAUGAAGAAGUAAAACUGGCAGUUCUGUGGUUCUUGGAUCAGAGUGUGAAAGCGCAGCUUCAGCACAGCUGAAAGAUCCCACUCUGUUCUUAUCCAAUCUCCCUGCAAUUUACCCAGGAAAAGAAAAUCGGGAUUGGCUUUGGUGGGCCUGGGAUCCUCUGGUGUUGAUGGAAAGCUCCAGCACCUCUUGCACAAUUCCUCUCCUCGUGAGGCAGCCAGAGCCUUCCCCUGUGGGUGUGUGGAGGAAGGAACAGCCCAGCACAACUGCCUGUGGUUUAUCAGACACAGCAGGUUUGUGCUUUUCCAGCUACAGGAUGGCAGGGAAGCACUGAGUAGUGCCCACCAUGAAAAAUCCAAAUUCACUGAACAGCCCAUGCUGAAUUAAAUAGAAGGUAAGUGUUAGUAAUACAGAAGUCAAAAUAAGUAAUUCUUAGUAACAAAACCUUGGCAAACUUUAAAUCAUAAUUUCUGUCCUUUAACUACUUCUGGAAAUUUCUUUAUUGAAUUGCUCCAUUACCUGGAAAUUCUGUACAGCAAACAUACUGUCAGGACAUAGAGACAAACACUCAGAACUUCGUGGAAUCAUAAACACUGUGUUCUUCAUUAGGUUGAGUUGUUAAGUGUUCUUCAUUUUACAUGUCCUCAAUUCCAUCAUUUUUUAUGUGGUUGUUUUAUGUGUGAAUUGAUGCUUUUCUUCAUGGACUGUACAGCACAUUCCCUUCUGCCUUUGCUUGGGGAAUUUUUAUCCUGUUUUCUCUUUUCUCCAAUUUUACAUGAUAUAGUCCUGCCUUCCUCCUUCUAUUUCAAUGAUGUUUAAAACAUUCAAGUCCUUAAAACCUCCUUUUCUUUUUUUCGCCCCUGAAUUGCAGUGUAUUUGCUGUUCUGUCACUUACACCUUUGUCUCUCUCACUCAUUACCUUUGGACUCCUUGCUCAUGACAACUAAACCUGCAUGAUUCAUUACAGAGAUAUUCUUCAUUCAUAUGUUUGCAAUUAAAGCACUGGUUUAAGUGCCACUCUAUUUUAUUUUAGAAUUUUAUAACAUGAAUCAGGCAAUACUAACAAUAAAUAAUAAACACAGUUCAGUUCUUCACUUGACUGUUGCUGAGCAUUAUUUUGUAGCUGCUAAUAAAGGCACAUUAUCAUGUUCAGGGAUUGCAAUUAUCACUGAAAUGUGUAUGUCCAUUAACUGCAACAUUAGGCUGAGGGUAUAAUUACUGUCUAGAGCCAAUAUCUGUGUGAAGUUACGUCUAUGAUGCUAUUAAGCUAUAAGCAAUAUUUUAAAAAUAAUACUUAAACAUUUCAGAAUUGAUUCCAUCGCUUGCCGACUUAAAAUCUAAUCUUAUUUCAACUCCAAAUUAUUGAUGAUUUAAGUGUUUGGCAAAUAAACUAUUGAGUUAUUUAGAUGUGAGUAUAAUUUGUGAUGUGAGAGAGAAUACUGUUUUUCUAAUAGCAAGUGCCCAGCAUGAACUGAGCUGGUGGCAGGAGGAGAGAGAAGCUGUGGUGACAACAAAAUGCUGAUAAAAUAGUGGUACAGUGUGUCACAAAAUGCUGCAAACAGGUUGAAUUUUACUCAGAGUUACUUUUCAGACAAUUUAGUACAGCAAUUUAACAACAUAGAAUCCUGCUGCAUGCUUAAAGGACAAGAAGGAAAAUGCUUUCCUAAUAAUAUCAAAAGUGUGUUUUGAAGAGGAAUGAGGUUGAGUUUGUUCAUUGAUUUGCUUUCAGAAAAUUCUAGUGUUUCUGCUGGCAGAACAUUAAACUGCCUGUGAAAUAUGGUGGAUAGUUCAUUUGCAAAACUAAUCUAAGUCACGAGUCACUAAUUCCACAUGUGGAGAUGUUUGCAUCUGUAACGAAGUGAACUUUUGAUAUAUUUUGAUUUAUAUAUAAAAUAUGCAUAGUAGUAAUUGACUUUUAAGUGCUUGUGUAGAUUAAUAUUUUGUUGUAUUUCGUUGGCAUGUGAGUGAUAGCCACCCCUUUGGUUAAUUUCGUUACCUGAAUCAGGAAUGGAUAGUUUGGGAAUGCUGUUUAGCAGUAAAAGUUAAAAGAAUCAGUCUUUCAGCAUUUUACAUCUUAUUUUAAAUGCAAGUGCAUUUCAGAUUUUUGUAGGACAGAGGAACUAUUGCAUUGCUUAAUGAUGUUUUUCUGGUACAGAUAGACCCUAAUAGAACUCCUGUUUCUGCUUUACAGCAGUUGUUUUGGAUUCAGCUUUCACAUGUGUCUGCUUUGUGGCUUUCCAGCCUCUGCUCUGUCUUUGAUGGCUAGACUUGGUUGUUCUGACACUGUUUAUGUUUGCUGCCCACAUCACUAAAUAUGACUUUCUAUUUAUAAAAUUGUUUGCAUUUUUAUGUUGAUUAUGCUCUUUGUUUCAAAAUUCACAUAUUUCACUUCAAGCAGAUUCUCUUCUCUGGGUAACCUCUAACUGCUGGACUGUUUCACUUGUGCUGCAUUUUCCAAAACCAGCUUAGCAAGAAGGAAUAAGUAGCAAAUAAGGCAUCUUGGGGAAAAAAAAAACAACCCCAGCAGCCCAGGCUGACUUGACUUACUCAUCUAAAAUAUACUGGUUUCGUUGCUGUACAUUGGUCUUGUAUCUUUAUUAUUAAAGAACCUUAAUGAAUUAAUUUAACAGGCCUUGCAGUAAGUAAAUUAACCACCAGAGUUCAGAGCAGAGUGAAUAAUUUUUUAAUAUUAGACAGCAACAAUUUUUAUGAUUCAAGUUAAUUAUUAAAUUGCUUAUUGCAUAUUUUUGUAAUUCAAAGAUAAAAAUCAUGCAAAGAACAAUCCAGUAAAAUCCCAGGAGGUUAGAAAAUUCUUGUUGAUACUGAGUGAGUUAUCUACCUGCGUCCUGGGUUUGUGGUGUGCACUGUCCAGCACUGCUGAAAGGGUGGUUGCGUGAUUUUACCUGAUCAGUUGUUAACCUUUCCUUCAAAAUUACUAAUGAAUUGAAUUUAGUUACCAGCAAUUAGUGUAUUACAAAAACAGUCUUCUGGAUGAUCUUCUAGAUUUUCCUUUAGAACAAUGUUGUCAGUUUAGAUUUAUAAAGGGGAAUAUGUUUUUGUCUGGCAGCAUUCUUAAACAGGAAUUGUUCCACAGCACUAACUUCGGUUCAUUAAUUUUUUUUUUUUUCCUGAGAAAAUACUUGCUACCUAAGUAGCAAUCUUCCCAGGUAGCUUCAUGCACUGAUGAUUUCUAUUCUUACAUGUGAAACAAAAGUGAAAUUGAGUAGAUAAAGUGCAAACUUCCACCCUUUGUGACCUCAAGGUCAGUUGGUUUUUACCUUACAAAAAAGUGAGUGUUAAACACAGCAUGGAAACUGUCCAUCAGUUGGGGCUUUUUGGUAUAGUUGCAAGUUUUGGGUUAAUCCAGAAUUGCAAAGGAGAUGCAGUUCCUCCUUUUAGCUUUUACUCUCAUAUCAAUACUCCUGUUUUUUUAAAUUAUAUAGGAUUGGUCAUUUUGUAUUCCUAUUAUGGUCUAUUAAUUGUUUUUUUCAUGCUUUUUAGGGUUAUUUACAAGUAACUGUGUGGAAAGAGCAGUGUUCAAGUGUUCAUGGAGCAGCAUGUACAGAAACCUUUGUGGCUUUUGUUAAGCUGUUGUCACCUGACCAGCAAUGCAUCGCUUCCACUCCAGAGGAGAGAGUCAGUGGAGCCGAGCUCCUAAGGACUCUUUUCUUCAGAGCAGCAGUCAUGUCCAGUACAUAGGAUGAGAAACCUUUUAGGAUUUGAGGUAGAAAUGAGGCUUCAGUUACUUCCUCUGUUUUGCAGUGCCUUUGAUCUGGAAACUUUCCAGAUGCAUGAAGUAAUCAGAUUUCUCAAUCAAAUUAAUUUUUUUUAAAAUUUGGUCUACCCUUGCCUUCACAUGACUUAUGUACACACUGUCUGGGAGUGUCAGAUGGAGAAAACAUCCACAUCACUGUGAAAUGCUUCAUGGUGAAUAAAGAGAAGAAACUCCUCUAAGGCAGAUAAGAUGUCACACUUACUUCCUCCCUUUUCCACCUGUGUGACAAUAACUGUACCAGGAGAGGUCUGCACAGAAAUCUGUGCAGAAACUGCAUUUGCUCAGUUAAGGACAGAGCCUCCAGUAAGCACUUCUGGUUUUAUUUGGGUGGCAGUUCGUGGCUCAUCUGAACAUUUUGAUAAUACUUGCACUCUGAUUUCUUUUUUUUCCCCCUUUUCUUCUACAUAUUUGAACCAUUUGUACUUUUCAUCCCAUUUUAUAGUAGCAUGAGGAAAAGCUGUAAGACAUUUCCAAAUAUCAAGUUUAACUAAGAAACUACUUUAAAAAUAAUAAAAUACAAAGGCUACUUUUGCUUAUGUGAUUGACUCUGGUGUUGAGAAGCCAAAGAGCACACAGGUAUGGUGUUAGAGGGUACCAGAUGGUGUUUCUUCUCCAGGAAAAGGAAAAUGCCUCUUUAUUGUUUCCCCUUUUUUUGUGUUGCAUGAGAAAUGAGCAUCUUUCUAUGAGAUCAUGUGGCAAACCAACCUACCUUGGGUUAUUCUUCUCCUCAGGGAAUAUUUGGCUUGUCACCUGCAGUUCUAGGAGCCCUCAUAAAGACCCAGGUGAGAGAUCAGCGCUGUCAGGAUCUUUCCAUCCAGGUAAGGUGAGCCAUGAGAGAUGAGCAGCUUCCCUUUAGGAAUCUACAGUAGGGCUGGUACAGAUAUUUUGAAGAAAUCUGAUUCUUCAGAAGCUUUCAAGCUGUUGAUGAUAGCUUAUUUUUUCAAGGCCAAGCUGCUUAGGCUAGAAGGUCUUCAAGGUGUUAGAGACUUAUUCUAACUGCACAGGCUUUGCAGCUGCCUUCAGUUUAUACAGCCCCCUGCAGAAGUUAUUUCUGAGUGUCAUGGCACCGUGGCUGAAUUUAGUGCAGUAUCAGAACUACUUUGUAAAGUUGCCAGCACCCUUGGAAGCUCAGAUGAUUUUCUGAACUGCUGGGAUUUUAAGGAAAUUCAUAUUUUGAAAAAUAAAUCUAAUAAUUAGUAUUUAUUAGUAAUUGUGGUGAUCCUUUUAAAAACAGUUUUAUUUGUACAUGCUGUGAAUGCCUUUAUUUGUUUCCUUUACAAAUAAAUAAAUUCAUCAGUCCCAUCUGUUGGGAAGCACGGGCUGUGUGAGAGGCAGCAGAGUCAGCAGAGGGAGCACAAGGAAACGAGCAGGACUGUGCUGUGUGCGAAGGACUGGGGUGGGAGUGCUUCUGCUGAACAUGCAGUGAAUAAUCAGAUACCUGUUUGGUAUUGUAUAAAGAUUUCAUCUCAGGAACACUUCCAGGCUGCCACCACGAAUACUUAGAUGGUGAAUAAUAUGAAGUUAUUUCUAGAGGUGCAUAAACCUGUCAAGUGGGACUGAUCUGUGAUGUGAGGAGUUGUUUCUGUCUCCAACCCUGAAUUACAUUUUGCUGUUCAACUUUGUUUUAGUUAGUGUUUUGCUCUCCUGCUGUGCCAAUAAGCAAAUACUUGUGCACAAACAUCCCUCCUGAUCACUUCUGGAGGGCCAGGAGGGGAAGCAGGUGGGUGGAGGCUGCUUGUGCUGCAGUUUCUACACACAUGUUGGUGGCAUUAAGCUUCCUGCUUGCCUUGGCACUCCUUAGGCCCAAAACAAGGGAGAAGAUAUUUUUGAGAAAUACAUGUUUCAUUUUUAAGCAUGCUUAACCUUAAUAGUUAUGACAAAUUUUUAAAAUAUGUGCAUUUGAGACAGCAUUAAUAAUUCACAUAUUUUUCAUUAAGAAAAAGAACAAACUGUCUAUAGGGCCAUUAAAUUCUUACUUGGCUAAGAUCAUCAACAUUUAGAUGACCUAAAAUGGUACCUUGUUUGGGUCAUAAUAUGCCACUUGAAAAAAAAUACCCUGUGAUUUAGUUUUGAUUCUGACAAUACUCAAAAGGAUUUGUUAUGUCUUACUGACCUCUCUGCAAACUACUAAUGGGAUGAACACAAUAUAUCACUUUUAUAAUAGUGAGCUAUUAAAGGCACACAUAAAGCAGUCUGAAGCCCAUAAGUGCUGCCAACAGCUUCUGCUUUAAUGAAUUCCCUUUUAGAUGUCCAUUAAAUGCUCAUGGCAAAUGUACUCAUAAUGGAAAUGGCAAAUCUAAAUGGGUAGAUAUGAAUAAUCCAUGGAGUUUAAAUUCUGUUUAUGAUCAUCUUCACAUUUAGUUUUCAAGACAACGCAGUUUAGUUUUCAUUACAGUUUGGAAUAAAGAGGACAGGGAGUAAUUGAUUGCUUCAAGCAGAUUAAAAUCAAUGCGUUGCUUUUCAAAGAACCCAUGGAACGCAGUAAUUUCAACUUUAAACGUUGAUUUAGGGAACUCAACACAAAAUGUUUUGUGCUGUGUGAACUUUUAUGUAGAAAGACUAAUACUAAUUUUAUUUCUAUAUAUCUGUAUAUAGAAAUAUAUAGAGGUUGUUAUCAGUAUGUGCAUGAGUAAACAGUGAUCUAUAGUAAGUUAUUUUGGUAUUAUUGCACUCAUGUAGUGAAUCAAUGAGAUUCCCGUCAUCAUUGGGAUACUGUUUGUAAACCAUUAGCACACAGAAAUUACAACCCAUCAUACAUCAUUACUGUGAUUGAGGCUUUAUUACCAUAUUCUCAAAUUGCUUGCUUGCUAUAAAACUAAAUAGACACCAGACAACUAUAGGUAGACGAUAGACUGUGCCUUAUUGGGCUGGACUAAUGAAGGAUUAUUGUAGCAUAAUGGGGCACAACUUACGAGGAAAAUAAACUUGGCAGCAAAGGAAAGCUUGAGUGUUUUUAUUGUUUGUUGUUACUGCUUUAAAGGUCAAAUAUAUUUGUUAUGAUC